RNAcentral lists this ribosomal RNA (425 nucleotides) under uncultured bacterium. RNAcentral's name for it is "partial 16S ribosomal RNA". It matches the Rfam family "Bacterial small subunit ribosomal RNA", at positions 354 to 796 of the family's 1533-position model. The record is from RNAcentral.
GUGGGGAAUCUUGCGCAAUGGGCGAAAGCCUGACGCAGCCAUGCCGCGUGAAUGAUGAAGGUCUUAGGAUUGUAAAAUUCUUUCACCGGGGACGAUAAUGACGGUACCCGGAAAAGAAGCUCCGGCUAACUUCGUGCCAGCAGCCGCGGUAAUACGAAGGGGGCUAGCGUUGCUCGGAAUUACUGGGCGUAAAGGGCGCGUAGGCGGACAGCUUAGUCAGAGGUGAAAGCCCAGGGCUCAACCUUGGAAUUGCCUUUGAUACUGGCUGUCUUGAGUUUGGGAGAGGUGAGUGGAACUCCGAGUGUAGAGGUGAAAUUCGUAGAUAUUCGGAAGAACACCAGUGGCGAAGGCGACUCACUGGCCCAAUACUGACGCUGAGGCGCGAAAGCGUGGGGAGCAAACAGGAUUAGAUACCCCUGUAGUCC